This is a long non-coding RNA of Pyrus x bretschneideri (Chinese white pear), 602 nucleotides long. RefSeq lists it as uncharacterized. The record is from RefSeq and is a predicted model, not a curated record. NCBI's taxonomy places the organism in Eukaryota, Viridiplantae, Streptophyta, Magnoliopsida, Rosales, Rosaceae. The transcript has 4 exons.
GGGUUCUAGUUUGGUUUGGUUCGACAUAAAAACCUGCAGCCCAAAACGCAGGCCCAUCUCCGAAGUUGUCCAGUCCAAACUCGAAUGGACGGAGAAACUCGCCACUCUCGCGGCCGGUGAGAGUCUCAGCCUCCCGGAGCUCCGUCUACUGUUCAGACUUCAGCCAUUGGAAAAUGAAGUUUGUGGAUUGGUAUUUGAAGAUCGCAUUCGGGUCGGCUCUGAUUGGAGUUUGUCAUGAUCGAGGCCGGCUUCUUAACUGUUCUGGAGUCAGAAAAACAGGCUUGGGAGAACUCGCCAGAGGCCCAAGCUAUCAGGGAUCAAUCCUUGGAGAAACCGCGAUGCAGAAGCAAGCAAGGAAUCCUAAGUAGGAUGGCUGCAUGUUCACAAGGAAGAAGAUAACAGUACUAGCAGGAGAUCAAUCUGAGAAAUACUGUAAAAGAUGACAUUGUUUCUUUUAGUUGAACAACGUGAGAGGUGACCUUGAUCAUCCUGAAAAUUAUUUCAUUCCUUCGAUUUAUAUAACUUGUAUCGUUCUUGUCCUGGGGAACAUGAUCAACAGUUUUGAAAGAAUAUGAAUGUAGCCAUUUUGGUUGGUUCUCGUA